CGAUACCGUAGUAAUGAUGGACGUCAGUUGUCAAUGAGAAUGACUGGCAGUAAUGACGGAUUUGGUAACUCUUCUUAAAAGUCGGGCCCAGCCACUCAUCAUGCAUGACCCCUGGCUGCAUAUUAACAGCUGUGUGCCACGGUGCAGCUGCGGGCCGGCGCCACAGAUGGAGCUGAAUACUGGAUGAGAUGGUGGAGCUGCAUCAUGGAAGCCGCAUGGACGAGAAAGAUCACCAUAAAACCGAAGGUCUCACCAGACAGGAAGCUUCCUCUGCCUCGUCUUCAUCGCCGCCAUCCUCUUCUCCCAUCAGCCACUGGGUGAGAGCGAGGAGCCCGGC
Molecule: long non-coding RNA, 337 nt
Organism: Poeciliopsis prolifica (blackstripe livebearer)
Lineage: Eukaryota; Metazoa; Chordata; Actinopteri; Cyprinodontiformes; Poeciliidae
Exons: 3
Source: RefSeq, a predicted model, not a curated record